RNAcentral lists this ribosomal RNA (407 nucleotides) under uncultured bacterium. RNAcentral describes it as "partial 16S ribosomal RNA". It matches the Rfam family "Bacterial small subunit ribosomal RNA", at positions 30 to 526 of the family's 1533-position model. The record is from RNAcentral.
AUUGAACGCUGGCGGCAGGCCUAACACAUGCAAGUCGAGCGGAGCGGGGGACGGGUGAGUGAUGCCUAGGAAUCUGCCUGGCAGUGGGGGAUAACGACCGGAAACGGGCGCUAAUACAUAACACUAUCUGAUGGCCCCAGGUCGGAUUAGCUAGUUGGUGGGGUAAAGGCCUACCAAGGCGACGAUCCGUAACUGGUCUGAGCGGAUGAUCAGUCACAUUGGAACUGAGACACGGUCCAGACUCCUACGGGAGGCAGCAGGGGGGAAUAUUGGACAAUGGGCGAAAGCCUGAUCCAGCCAUGCCGCGUGUGUGAAGAAGGUCUUCGGGUUGUAAAGCACUUUAAGUUGGGAGGCGUUACCAACAGAAGAAGCACCGGCUAACUCCGUGCCAGCAGCCGCGGUAAUAC